GACGAACGCUGGCGGCGUGCUUAACACAUGCAGUCGAACGGAAAGGCCUGCUUUCCCUUGUGGAUUGCGGGUACUCGAGUGGCGAACGGGUGAGUAACACGUGAGUGAUCUGCCCCCAACUUGGGUAUAAGCCUGGGAAACUGGGUCUAAUUCCCGAUAGGACUGCAGGGUGGUGCCUGUGGUGGAAAACGAUUUUCUAGUGGUUGGGGAUGAGCUCGCGGCCUAUCAGCUUGUUGGUGGGGUAAUGGCCUACCAAGGCGGCGACGGGUAGCCGGCCUGAGAGGGUGGACGGCCACAUUGGGACUGAGAUACGGCCCAGACUCCUACGGGAGGCAGCAGUGGGGAAUAUUGCACAAUGGGCGGAAGCCUGAUGCAGCGACGCCGCGUGGGGGAUGACGGCCUUCGGGUUGUAAACUCCUUUCGACCGCGAGGAAGCCACCUGGUUGGAAGGGUGGUGACGGUAGUGGUAGAAGAAGCACCGGCUAACUACGUG
RNAcentral lists this ribosomal RNA (493 nucleotides) under uncultured bacterium. Its description in RNAcentral is "partial 16S ribosomal RNA". It matches the Rfam family "Bacterial small subunit ribosomal RNA", at positions 28 to 507 of the family's 1533-position model. The record is from RNAcentral.